Molecule: long non-coding RNA, 1334 nt
Organism: Cyprinus carpio carpio
Lineage: Eukaryota; Metazoa; Chordata; Actinopteri; Cypriniformes; Cyprinidae
Source: Ensembl
AUAGUAAGUGUAUACUGUACAGUAUGCAGUGGACUGGUUUUCCUCUCCGCAGUAUUGCAGUGCUUACCACAUGAUGGAGCUCUUUCUUUUAAUUACACCCUUGCCACUGCAACAACUUUGUUUAUAGCUCUGUUCAAUAUUGCUUUUUGCAAAUUAACACAGCUGUCCAAUUACAAAAACCCUCAUAACUUAGAAAUUAGUAAUACAUGCACUCACAGUAAUGUUGGCAAGCAUAACUAUUAACUGUUGAUCAUACUUGGGGGUUUUUCAGUUCAAGGUUGGUGCAUAAUUCAACUGCUGUUUGUGCCAUGGAUAUGAUUCUCAAAUCAUACAAGGUGUGCUGAUACUUUUCCAAAUCUCUAGACAAUUCUUACCUGCUUGAUGGACAAAAAAAGCCUUAGGCUUAGGAUCCUAGUCUAUGAUGUUUGGGAAAAGUUGAUAUUAUUUGCCUUGUAAAAGAUGAAGGGAGGCUCUUAAGGGAGUGCAGAUGUGUUGACAGAGUCGUGUCUUUGUCCCUGGAGUGCCAUGAGCAGGAACACGUGGAAGAGCAAAUGAUUUCUCAGGAGAGGACACAGUAACUCAAGGGUCAAAAGCCACACGAGUAAGAGAGAUGGAUUGAGUUUGGUGCCAGUGAUUUUUCACUUUGUGUUUUAUGAACUCCAGCUCAAUCGCAUACAAGACCGUGGCAAAAUCAAUCCAAUCAAUGCUAAUUGUGUGAGAGUGAUAACAUUGGCAGAGAGCAAUGAAGCCUCAGACUUGAAGAAAAGACAAUGGGAAAGAAGAGUGAGAAUGAGAAUCGAAAAAGGUGCGAGAUUCUGCUGAUAGCUGAUGUUGAAAUAAACCUAAUGAUUUUAAAGCAGAAUAUCAUCUGCUGUUCGAUUGGCUCACACUUUAAUGUGUAAAUACUGUGUUGUAAGAGGCUAUAAUUAGCCGUCUCACCUCUCUCUUCCCACUCAGGGAGAAACAGUGUGAUAAGGAAGGCACAGCUGCUCUCAGACUGGAUGAACUAAAGCACACGGCAGCCUCUGACUGCUCUCUUCACUCCGUCUCCCCUUCAGCUCGGUAGAGGAAUAGUAAAUUCUCUCAUUAUUUCUUCCAUGGAGAUCGAAAGGUGAACAAAAAAGUGAGUGAAGACUUGAAAAUGACAGAAAAGCACCAUAAAAAUGAUCUUUUUUAGCUCGCAGAUCACAUUCAUGUCCACAUAUAUUUAGAUAUGGCAUGUCAAGGCAUUACCAAGUGUUGUUAAAUAUGCCAUUGGUCACUGUCAUAGGUUCUCUUAACUUUAAUAUGCACAUAUUUAAUUUAAAUGAAAGGAUAUGAGGGCUAUGGCAGAG